Molecule: long non-coding RNA, 7215 nt
Filed under: Olea europaea subsp. europaea
Lineage: Eukaryota; Viridiplantae; Streptophyta; Magnoliopsida; Lamiales; Oleaceae
Source: RNAcentral
GAUUUUUUAUGAAUAUGGUGAGUUUUUCAGUGUGAAAACCCAAAAAAGUACCAAAUCCAGCGUAUAAAGAGCCCUGGAAGCGCAAGGUGUGAACAAAUCAUUAAUUAUGUAGUUUGAGCAGUAUGCAUAAUUCCAAAUUAAUUGCAAUCACUAACCUUGGAAGAAGUGCAACAGAAAAUCAAGAAUCCUAACUACAAGGGGAAUUGGAAGAUUCCUUGGAUUGAUAAUCCGUGUAAGUUUCCUUUCAAUGAAUCCAAGUAGUAUUAAGUGGCCGCUAUCAGUUCUAAUGUGUCCACACCAUGUCAUGUUAUGGUUCAGACAGUUUAGCUCUCAGCCAAAUUGAAUCUGUUCCUUCUGCCAAUGUGGAGAUUAAUUAUUAUACAAGAGCAAUGAACUAAACAGAUAUUAUUUUAUGUAAACACUAGCCUUUUUUCUUUUCUCCCAAUGUUCAUUGAAACUAGGAACAUCGAAUUGCAUCACUCUAUUUACUGCUGCUUUAUUUAUCAAAUAUAAAGGGGCUUUGAGACGUUAUUAUACUUUCCAGCCAAAUUAGAAUGCUAUUUUAUGGGAAAAAGGGGUCCUGGCACAUAUGUAAUAGAACAGUUACUUUGUGCUGUUUACUGCUGGAUUCAAUUCUCCAGGUAAAGAUUCAUUCACACACUCAUCUUCUUCGAAUUUGGGAAGGGGGAGAUGCUGGUAACCUCAUUGCUUUUCUUCUUCCCUUCUGCAGAGUUUGAAGAUAAUCCCGACCUCUAUGUAUUGAAACCAAUAAAAUAUGUAGGCUUCGAAGUUUGGCAGGUAAGAACCAAGCUAUUAUUUUAUUUUGUGGAAUUUUCAUUUAUACCUUGUUUUCACAUAUUCCUGUUUGAAAUUUAUACUGCUAUAUCCUCCAAUUUAUUCAAUGGUCUUGAAUUUGAGAAGUGGUCUGAAUAUUGCAAGACAAUUAGGCCUCCUGGGUUGUCUUUUGGUGAAUUUCAAACAUUGUAUCCGAUACCUUUAAGAUCUCUUAUGUGGCUUGCAAAUAUAUGGUAGUAGUGCUAUGUCGAGUGAAAUUGUUCUUUUCUUUGGUCUCUCUUUAGAAGUGGAAUUUUGGUUCUGAUCUCAUAAGGUUAUACUAGUUUUAAAAAAUUACUGUUUGCUGUCGAUUUUGAAUAUCAAGAAAUGGACACUUACGAAACUGCAUUCCACUCUUAUUGUAAAAAUGAUACUUUCUGGUUCACUGGCUUGUGAAAACAGCAUAUACUCAGUAUUGACAGUGUCAACACACUAAAAGUGCAGCCCAGAUCGAAAAGCCCAAAGAAUGAAGCCCAAUUGGGUAAUUCAGGAUAAAAUGCUGAAAUAGGGCUAGUAAUGAAUGCAGUGGAAGUCCACGAAUGUGGUAACACCAUCGCCCAAACUUGGAAGAUGCCCAAGAUCUGAGCGAAUGAAGUGCCUUGCAGUCACCCAGAGCUAUGACCCUAUUUUCGUCCAAACCUUCGAAUUGCCCAGGAUCUUAACUAACAUAAGAUGUUAUGGUUAUCCAGAAGUACAUUUAUUGAAGCAGCUUAUCACGUUCCACGAUUCAAGGAGUUCAUUUGAAGACGGUUAAACGACAAAGAGUAGUGACAGCAGUUAGAGACGACAGUUCCACGACACGAUGGCCACCAUAAAUGAAGUGGGUAGUUAUAAAACAAUCAAGUAGUUUCUAAGCGGUUGAUCAUGAAGAAAUCAUUAAGGGAAUAUAAAAGGAAGAGAAGAUAUAGAGAAAACGACCCCGGAAUCAAAUACUCUCAAACAGAGAAUAUGUAAUUUCAAUUUCUUAUUUUAGACUUAAACAUUUCUUUUCAGUACUCGUGUACUUGCGCCCCUUGGAGGCAUUCUGUUUAAAUUCCAAUUGUAAAGUCAUCGCCAACAAAACACCCAUUUUGGAACUUUGUCUCAAGAGGUUUGUUCCUUACACAAUCGUCUGAUCCCUUUUUAAUGUUAGUGACUACUCGCGCGAAACAAUUUGGCACGCCCAGUGGGACUUUGGUGUUUGGUGUUGAAGAUACAAAAAUGUGAAACAAUAUGCCUCAGAAAUCUGAUAAGGAAGUAUCAAGUCAUGGAGGAGUUCAGUCUGUGAUCAAGCGAUAUGAGGAGCAGCAUAGCUCCUCACGAAUAGAUGGACAGAAUCAGAGCAAUCAUAGUCGUUACGAACCAAUGACAGAGUUGAGUCCUCGAACCAUGCGUGCAUUACUUGGAGAACUCACACAAGAUGUCGUUGAACAGGUAAAUCUACGAAGUAUCCAUAAUAUGGAAAGAUUUACCCAGAAUGGAAAUGCACAUUAUGACAAUAUGGCCAAACAACUGAAUACUUUGAAUGAAAUAAUGAAUAAGUUAGUAGGCCAAAUUUGUCAGCCAGUUGUGCCUCUUGCAAACCACUUUCAAAUUAGGACAAUUGUUGGACAUAAUCCCCCAGUCCUAAGUUUAAAUCAAAGGGUAAAACCACCUUUUGAUCCCUCUACUUCAAACCAAGGAGGUGGUGUAAUACCAAAUCAGAAUAGUGGCAUUGGUACAUCUAACUUGGGGGUAACCUAAAUGUAAGAGAUAAUAUCCUAAAUAAUGGGCAGAAUACCCCAUGUGUUAAUGAUGAAAUAAAUGUUCAGGCUAAUGGUAACAAUGGCCCAAAUCAUGGCAACUUUGUUGCCAACCAAGGACCAAAUAUCAGGCCUCAAGCAAAUCAACCGGUUAAUCAACUUGUAAGAAUUCCAUAUGACCCCAACGUCAUGUUGAUGAAUCAGAUUAUGGAAAUCGUACAGGACCAGAUGGCUUUUGGAGUACGUCCUGUCAUUAGGCCGCCUUAGACAAAGCUAUAUCCUGAUUGGGUAGACCAAGCAUACACAUGGCCUAGAGGGUAUAAAGUGCAAGAAUUCUCACUGUUUAUCGGUUUAGGAGAGGUGUCUGCUCUAGAAUACAUAGGGCGAUUCACACUGCAAAGUGAUGACGUAACUGAUUACCAUAAAAUGAGGUUGUUCCCUAGUUCAUUAACAGGAAUAACCUUUUUCUGGUUCAUCAAUUUGCCAGCAAACUCUGUUCAAACAUGGUAACAAUUGAAGCAAUUAUUCCACGCUCAGUUUUAUAAGACUGAGUCUGAAGUUACUUUGGUCAAUUUGGCGAAUCUACGUCAAAUGCCAAACGAAUGGGUAGAAGGUUUCCUUCAAAGGUUCAAAACAGCAAGAAGUAAAUGUUUUGUACCUUUGCCCGAAAAGGAAUUUGUCAAAAUUGCUCAAGGUUGUCUAAGCUUUGAUUUGAAGAAGAAGUUCCAAGAUAAGGAAUUUCCUAAUCAUUUCCAAUUGAGCGCGAACGUGAUUAGGUAUGAAUGAUUAAUAAGAGAAGAAUAACAAAUGAAAAAUUCUUGCAAGGGGACUUAUUAUAGAGACCCAAAUUUUGAUGUAUAUACCAUUAAUGACGAGUAUUACGAUCAAACCAAAAUGUGUUUGGUCGAAUUAGUUAAAGGAGACACAUGUACUUGUCCUAUAAUAGCUAAGCUUGACCGUCGGGUAAGGAUGAGCCUAUAAAAGAUGAAAACAUAAAUGCUAGAACGUUCUCGUUCGAUGUAAUUAAAGCUGACCUUAUAUUUGAUAAAUUAUAUAAGGAUAAGCAGAUAAAGCUGAGCGAUAAGCAUAAAUUGCCAAGCCCUGAACAAGUUAAGGGUAAAAAAAUAUUGUAAGUGACAUAAUGCAUAGUCACAUUUGACUAACAACUGUUUGGUUUUUUGCCAUGUGUUACAGGAUGUCAUUGAAUUAUGAUGAAUUACGUUCGAGGAUAUGAGGAAGAUGGCAGUGGAUGGAAAUCCUUUUCCACAGCCACUUGGAGUGAAUAUGGUGACGUCUGGUUUCAAAAACAAGUUGCUAAAAUUCAAGUUGGUUAUAGAUGAUGGAGAAGAAGACCCUGUACCACAUCCCAGUGUCUUUGAACGUAUCAAAGGGAAGGAGCCCAAAAAGGACGAAGACGUCCUAUGUGCAAGAUGCAAAAAAAAAAGUGAGUGCAAAUGCAGAGAAACCAGGGAUAUGGCAGCAUCAUCAUCGCUCUAGUUUUUUCCCAAAUACUCAGCCUGGUAGAGGGCGGGGUACAUUGUUCUAUAAGGGACCGCCUUUUGAGAGGCAGUUCAGGUCAGUAAAUAAUAGGAGAACAUUCAAACCGCAACCUCGCCAACCAAAUGUAUGACAUUCGUUCCAGUAUAAGGCUGGAAGGGCGAUACCUUUCAACGAGAUGACUAGAACCCAACAAAGGCGUUUUCAACGGAACUAUGGGCGAAUGAUGAGGCAACAACAAGGAAUACUACGUCCUAAGGCACUUAGACUACUCGAGGCAGCCAAUCAAAAUGUUCUCAAAGACAGUGAAGAGAUUGGUACAGGCGAACCUAUGGAAGAAUUGCCAGAGACUUUUUCUGGGAGGUCGAAGUUUGAGAGAGAUAGAAGGGGUGGAGAAGAUUCAGAUCAUCCCCUUACUAUUCAGUUUGGUACGUUACCUCCUGUCGUGGCUAAUAACUAUUUACUAGCCAAUGAGUUCAAGAAUAAAGGGAAGGGAAAAGAAGAAAAUGAGGAUAACGAAGAGGAAGCAUGCAUGCUGGAAUAUGAAGAAGGCCAAACUUCUAGAGAGGCCUACAAUGGUGAAGAAGAUGAUGGUAUGACAGAUAUCGAAGAGGAAAUUGAUCUGGAAGCAGAAAGAAGAAGAAGAGGAGUAUCGUACAAUACUCCGUUGAAGCAACUACAUCGAGAGGGAGUUCGUGAAGUAGACUUAUUGGGAGAACCAUUUGGGCGUUCUUUCGAUUAUUACGUACUGUACGGGAUGCCCAAAAGGAAGAAGAGAGUGUCUCACUCUGAAAAGUAUGGAUCACCUCCAAGAAUAAUGCCUCCUCCCACAGGUUGGGUAACUGAAGAAGAAGUAUUAGAAAAUAGUAAAAAGGAAAUUCAGGAGACAGAGGCUCAGUGCGAUAUACUGCACGUUGACUUAUUACAAAAGGGUAACUCGACAGAGGACAAGCAGGAAGUGGAAAUAGAUGUUGUCGAAAAGGUUAUUUUUAAGCGACCAGCCAUGAAAUUGACCAAACACUUGAGGCCAUUGUACGUUAAAACUCUAGUUAACGGUAUAUCUGUGGCAAAAGUGCUUGUUGAUAAUGGAGCAGCUAUAAACACCAUUCCAUCUAGGAUGAUGAGGAAAUUCGCAAAGACAGAAGGUGAUAUGAUCCUAACGGAAGUCAUCCUGACAAGUUUCAAUGGAGGAGCAACUUCAGCUAAAGGGGUUAUGCCAUUGGACAUAACUGUAGGAACAACUACUAGGACCACAGUCUUCUUUGUAAUAGAUGGUCCCACUAGUUACAAUGUGUUAUUAAGAAGAGAUUGGAUACACCGAAGCCGCUGUAUACCCUCAUCGCUCCAUCAAUACCUAGUUUUUUGGAAUGACAAGGGCGAAGCAGAGGUGGUGCAUGCCGAUCAUAGGCCCUUUAUCGCAGAAGCAAACUCAGUGAAAAUGUUCAUAUACGAAGGAAAAUAUGGACCUGUCAGAGUAGUCCAAGAUGGAAAAGAAACUCAGAUUGUCGCGCAGAGUGAAAAGCCGUUUUCGGUGGAUGCACUCACUGAAAUGUUCAGUCAAAUGAGGCCAAACAUAGUGGCCCUAGAGGAGCCAGUAAUUGGCAAAAGAAUAAUCAAGGAGUUUUAAAUGAGUUGUAAGCAAUAAAGGCAAAUGGCCGAUAUUCAGGCUUUCAAAGCCAAAUUAAUGGCUUUCAAUAAAGAAUGGAAGGAUAAGACGAAAGAAGAAGCAACCUUGAAAGCAUUGAGAGAUAAAUUGGCAGUGUUCGAGCUGGAACAAAGUAUUGGUCGAGAAGUCAAUAAGGUGGAUUGUUUAGAAGAAGAAGUACCUACAAGGGAACUGGACGACGAAGUGAUAAGGAUCGUCAAGCCUGGAUACGCUCAAGCACAAGACCCCCUGAUUAAAGUGAAUAUUGGCAGUGAAGGAGAAGAUCGCCCAACGUUCAUCAGCCAAAUGCUCGAUCAAGAGGUUAGUAAUAAAUUAAUCGCUUUAUUAAAGGAGUACAAAGAUUGUUUUGCUUGGGAAUAUGAACAUAUGCCUGGUUUAGAUAGAGAUUUGGUGGAACAUAGAUUACCAACCAAACCUAAUUUUAAACCUCAUAGGCAACCUCCUAGACGUUUCGCUCCUAAUGUACUCCCUGAAAUUAAGGAAGAGAUAGAGCGAUUAUUAAAAGCAGGCUUUAUUAGAAUGGCCAGAUAUGUUGAAUGGUUGUCCAAUAUCGUGUCGUUAUUAAAAAAGAAUGGUAAACUAAGGGUGUGCAUUGACUUUAGGAAUCUAAACAUAGCCACACCUAAAGAUGAAUAUCCAAUGCUCACGGUAGAUUCUUUAGUAGACUCGACUGCCAGACAUAUAAUGUAUUCCUUCAUGGAUGGGUAUUCAUGAUACAAUCAAAUUUAUAUAGUUGAGGAAGAUAUACACAAAACUGCAUUUAGAUGCCUUGGGUCUCUAGGAUGUUUUGAAUGGGUAGUUAUGCCUUUCGGCUUGAAAAAUGUAGGAGCAACUUAUCAAAGGGCAAUGAAUUUGAUUUUUCAUGAUAUGAUAGGCAAGUUUGUUGAAGUGUAUGUAGAUGAUAUAGUGGUUAAAUCCAUUAAAGAAGAGGACCAUUUUGAACAAUUAAGAUGUUCAUUUGAGCGAAUGAAACAAUUGUGCAUUUGGUGUUAAUGCAGGGAAUUUUCUUGAUUUCUUAGUACACAAAAGGGGGAUUGAACUUUAUAAAAAUAAAGCGAAGGCCAUUCUAGAGGCCAAAUCACCUAACAACAAAAAAGAAUUGUAAAGGUUUUUAGGCCAAGUAAACUUUUUAAGACGCUUUAUUUCUAACUGUGCAGGGCGAACUAAAGCUUUUUCGUCGCUUUUAAAGUUGAAAAAGCGGGAAGAAUUUGUCUGGAAAGAAGAGCAUCAAAAGGCUUUUGAAAGCCUAAAGACAUAUUUAUCAAGUCCACCAGUGUUGGUGUCACCAAUCCAAGGACGGCCAAUGAAAGUGUAUAUAUCGGCUCGAAAAGAAUUAAUAGCUGGAAUGGUCGCGCAGGAAGACCAAUUUGAUAAAGAAAUGGCGAUUUACUACUUGAGUAGACGGUUAACAAAAUGUGAAUGUAAUUAUUCUGCCUUUGAAAAAUUAUGUCUUGCAUUGUAUUUCACAUGUACAAAAUUAAGGGCUUAUUUACGGUC